Long non-coding RNA from Cloeon dipterum, 1136 nucleotides. RefSeq lists it as uncharacterized. NCBI's taxonomy places the organism in Eukaryota, Metazoa, Arthropoda, Insecta, Ephemeroptera, Baetidae. The record is from RefSeq and is a predicted model, not a curated record. The transcript has 2 exons.
UUUUAAAUUGACUACGCAGGGAGCAGGGAAGGAUUAUUUUAAGAACUUUGCUCCAAAUAUAAAAUGACAUCAACUAUAAGUUAGCUUUUACGCAUUUCCCUUGUAAAAUAUUUCCAAAAUAAAUCACGAGCGCAGCAUAUCAUCGGGUGCUAAUGAAUGAGCUUUGUCACACGUAUGCUGUUUUUUUAGACGCGAAUACCAAUUAUACGUGUAAAAGAAAAACAUCCCAUGACCGUGACGAGAACUCAAUGUUUGUUGUCAACCGUCCACGUGAAGAGCAUUAGGUAAAAGGCAUAUGUACGUCCACUUCUCGCGUUGGUUAUCGCGUCAAACGCAAUUCACGGGCGUGUUAAUUAAUUACGGAAAAGAGGCUGUUGCUUAGCGGCGACUGUUUUCCUCGCAAUCUGGCGCUAAUUGGUCCCAUGUUGAAGCCCAGAUAUAGGCAAAUUAACGCUCGCGUCCGCUUGGCAUUCGGACGUUGAUUUCAACCCAGUUCGCACGACACAUUAACUCUGCUGGACAGGCAAGUUUUUCAAUAUAUUUUUUACGACGUAUCCCAGUGGCCUGUGCAAUGAUUAAAUAUCGAAAAUAUUCAAAAGUUAACAAAGAAAAAUAUAUAUUUCUGUUGGGUUUUAUAAAUUCCGAUGAAAGAUAUUUUAACAAAAAAAUACGCUUAAAUUGUUGCAAAUAAUUUAGAGCUGCCGCAUCGACUGAUACUAUACUCAUAACCGAAAUGCUUGAUUGCAUUUAUUUAAUUUUGGUUACAACUAUGAUAUCUCCAUAGGUCCAAAUAAAAAUUGAAAUGUUUCAGACUGCUAUGUAUGAUCCAACUAAUCCUCUCAUUUGGGCUUUGUGCGGUCUCAUCGUUUUAAUUGUGUUCCUUACCGCGUUGGUGAUUCGCCUCUACUGCAGGACUGCUCAAAUUAGCCCCUAUUUUGGACAAGAUGAUGAACCUUGCAGGGUGGUGACAGUGCAUUGGCCGCACGAAAAAAUACAGCCUCCUCCUUACGUCCCGCUCUCCAGACGGCUAGAUUCAGAAUCCAACUCAGAAAGUAUAGACUUUUCCAAGAAAUAAUUUAAGUUGAACUAGUUAAACACAAUCCUGAUUGAAAUAAAAUGGAGUAAUCAAUAUUUGA